AAUGAACGCUGGUGGCAGACCUAACACAUGCAAGUCGAACGGUCUAUAUUAAACUUCGGUUUUUUAUAGAUAGUGGCAAACGGGUGAGUAAAGCAUGGGAAUCUACCUAGAAGUUUGGAAUAGCUAUUAGAAAUGAUAGAUAAUACCAAAUACACCUCGAGAGGGAAAGUUGACUUCGGUCUUCGCUUUUAGAUGAGCCCAUGUUAAAUUAGUUAGUUGGUAGGGUAAUGGCCUACCAAGAUGAUGAUUUAUAGCUGGUCUUAGAGGAUGAUCAGCCACACUGGAAUUGAGAUACGGUCCAGACUCCUACGGGAGGCAGCAGUAGGGAAUUUUCGACAAUGAGCGCAAGCUUGAUCGAGCAACACACGUGAGGGAAGAAGAUUUUAGGAUCGUAAACCUCUGUUGUAAGGAAAAAAUGCUAGAACAGGAAAUGGUUUUAGUUGACGGUACCUAAAAAAGUGACGGCUAACUUCGUGCCAGCAGCCGCGGUAAU
RNAcentral lists this ribosomal RNA (493 nucleotides) under uncultured bacterium. Its description in RNAcentral is "bacterial SSU rRNA". It matches the Rfam family "Bacterial small subunit ribosomal RNA", at positions 30 to 524 of the family's 1533-position model. The record is from RNAcentral.